Molecule: transfer RNA, 94 nt
Filed under: Streptomyces incarnatus
Lineage: Bacteria; Bacillati; Actinomycetota; Actinomycetes; Kitasatosporales; Streptomycetaceae
Also listed under: 2 other names
Description: tRNA-OTHER
Rfam family: tRNA
About the family: Transfer RNA (tRNA) molecules are approximately 80 nucleotides in length.
Source: RNAcentral
GGAGAGGUGCCCGGAGUGGCUGAUCGGGGACCGUGUGCACCGCGCUGGUCGGGCCUUACGGCCCACGCAGGUUCAAAUCCUGCCCUCUCCGCCA